AGUGAACGCUGGCGGUAGGCCUAACACAUGCAAGUCGAACGGCAGCACAGUAAGAGCUUGCUCUUACGGGUGGCGAGUGGCGGACGGGUGAGGAAUACAUCGGAAUCUACUUUUUCGUGGGGGAUAACGUAGGGAAACUUACGCUAAUACCGCAUACGACCUACGGGUGAAAGCAGGGGAUCUUCGGACCUUGCGCGAUUGAAUGAGCCGAUGUCGGAUUAGCUAGUUGGCGGGGUAAAGGCCCACCAAGGCGACGAUCCGUAGCUGGUCUGAGAGGAUGGUCAGCCACACUGGAACUGAGACACGGUCCAGACUCCUACGGGAGGCAGCAGUGGGGAAUAGUGGGCAAUGGGCGCAAGCCUGAUCCAGCCAUACCGCGUGGGUGAAGAAGGCCUUCGGGUUGUAAAGCCCUUUUGUUGGGAAAGAAAAGCAGCAGGUUAAUACGCCGCUGUUCUGACGGUACCCAAAGAAUAAGCACCGGCUAACUACGUG
Molecule: ribosomal RNA, 492 nt
Filed under: uncultured bacterium
Lineage: Bacteria
Description: partial 16S ribosomal RNA
Rfam family: Bacterial small subunit ribosomal RNA
Source: RNAcentral